CAAUAGCGUAUAUUAAAGCUGUUGCGGUUAAAAAGCUCGUAGUUGGAUUUCUGUCAAGGACAACUGGUCCGCCCCUCGGGUGAGCACAUAGUUUGGUCUUGGCAUCUUGUUGGAAACUGUUGCUGCACUUGGUUGUGUGGCGCAGUGUCCAGCACUUUCACUUUGAGGAAAUUGGAGUGUUUCAAGCAGGCACAUGCCUUUGGACACAGUAGCAUGGAAUAAUUAGAUUGGGCUUUUGCUCCAACUUGUCGGUUUCUGGAGCUGAGGUGAGAAUUAAUGGGGAUUGUUGGGGGCAUCCGAAUUUAGCCGUCAGAGGUGAAAUUCUUGGAUCUGCUAAAGACGGACAACUGCGAAAACGCUUGCCCAGGAUGUUUUCAUUGA
This 381-nucleotide ribosomal RNA is filed under the name uncultured eukaryote. Its description in RNAcentral is "partial 18S ribosomal RNA". It matches the Rfam family "Eukaryotic small subunit ribosomal RNA", at positions 592 to 976 of the family's 1831-position model. The record is from RNAcentral.